Non-coding RNA from Ictidomys tridecemlineatus (thirteen-lined ground squirrel), 69 nucleotides. Lineage: Eukaryota; Metazoa; Chordata; Mammalia; Rodentia; Sciuridae. The record is from Rfam.
GGGGUUGUGGCUCAGAGGUUGAGCGCUUGCCUACCAAGCAUGAGGCACUGGGUUUGAUCCUCAGCGCCA